Long non-coding RNA from Trifolium pratense (red clover), 508 nucleotides. RefSeq lists it as uncharacterized. The transcript has 2 exons. The record is from RefSeq and is a predicted model, not a curated record. Lineage: Eukaryota; Viridiplantae; Streptophyta; Magnoliopsida; Fabales; Fabaceae.
UUAAUAAAACUGUCAACUUCAAGUUUUGUUGUCAACAAAAGCUUCCUCCUUAGGGAAUUUAUUUCUUCUUGCAUUAUACAUAGGAAACAAUAGUUUUGUGAAAGUACAUGUAGAAAAAUACCAACAUGGAUUUCAUGUUUCUCAAGAAAUUCACACUCUUCUUCCUCCUUAUUUCUGGCUCACUUUUAGCAACUUCUUUUGCUGGUCGAGCAUCUAAUUUCACUUUCAGUAGAAAAAAAACAGUUUCAAUUGUUGGUUAAGCGUUCCUUAAGAUUCUCCAUAAGGUUCUCGUAAGUUUCCUUAUUUUCAUUUACUAUUUAUUUUCUUUUGCUUCUCCUUGUUUCUCUCUUCUUUGACCAACAAUCGCUUCAAUGGUAUAACAAUUUCAAUUGAUUGAAACGUGGGCAAGUAUAACAUGUAUUAGAACCGUUGGAUUGUAAUGGUGCAUGGAUCUUUUGGGGCACUUGAUUUUCCUCUUGAUAUGCCAGCAGAGUCACAGAUUAAUACA